UGGGGAAUUUUGCGCAAUGGGCGAAAGCCUGACGCAGCAAUACCGCGUGAGUGAUGAAGGCUCUUGGGUCGUAAAGCUCUGUCAGAGGGGAAGAACCUCCUGUCAUAUAAUACAUGGCAGGCCUGACGGUACCCUCAGAGGAAGCACCGGCUAACUCCGUGCCAGCAGCCGCGGUAAUACGGAGGGUGCAAACGUUGUUCGGAAUUAUUGGGCGUAAAGAGCAUGUAGGCGGUUUGUCAAGUCUGAUGUGAAAGCCCUGGGCUCAACCCAGGAAGUGCAUUGGAAACUGGCAAACUUGAGUACGGGAGAGGAAAGUGGAAUUUCGAGUGUAGGGGUGAAAUCCGUAGAUAUUCGAAGGAACACCAGUGGCGAAGGCGGCUUUCUGGACCGAUACUGACGCUGAGAUGCGAAAGCGUGGGGAGCAAACA
RNAcentral lists this ribosomal RNA (428 nucleotides) under uncultured bacterium. Its description in RNAcentral is "bacterial SSU rRNA". It matches the Rfam family "Bacterial small subunit ribosomal RNA", at positions 355 to 774 of the family's 1533-position model. The record is from RNAcentral.